This 83-nucleotide transfer RNA is filed under the name Caudoviricetes sp. RNAcentral's name for it is "tRNA-Tyr". It matches the Rfam family "tRNA". From Rfam's summary of the family: Transfer RNA (tRNA) molecules are approximately 80 nucleotides in length. Their secondary structure includes four short double-helical elements and three loops (D, anti-codon, and T loops). The record is from RNAcentral. Lineage: Duplodnaviria; Heunggongvirae; Uroviricota; Caudoviricetes.
GGGUAGAUAUGCCUAGAGGCGAGGGCAAGGCUCUGUAAAAGCCCCACAAAGAAACACCGCAGGUUCGACUCCUGCUCUGCCCA